AGUGAACGCUGGCGGUAGGCCUAACACAUGCAAGUCGAACGGCAGCACAGUAAGAGCUUGCUCUUACGGGUGGCGAGUGGCGGACGGGUGAGGAAUACAUCGGAAUCUACUUUUUCGUGGGGGAUAACGUAGGGAAACUUACGCUAAUACCGCAUACGACCUACGGGUGAAAGCAGGGGAUCUUCGGACCUUGCGCGAUUGAAUGAGCCGAUGUCGGAUUAGCUAGUUGGCGGGGUAAAGGCCCACCAAGGCGACGAUCCGUAGCUGGUCUGAGAGGAUGAUCAGCCACACUGGAACUGAGAAACGGUCCAGACUCCUACGGGAGGCAGCAGUGGGGAAUAUUGGACAAUGGGCGAAAGCCUGAUCCAGCCAUACCGCGUGGGUGAAGAAGGCCUUCGGGUUGUAAAGCCCUUUUGUUGGGAAAGAAAAGCAGCAGGUUAAUACCCCGCUGUUCGGACGGUACCCAAAGAGUAAGCACCGGCUAACUUCGG
RNAcentral lists this ribosomal RNA (491 nucleotides) under uncultured bacterium. RNAcentral describes it as "partial 16S ribosomal RNA". It matches the Rfam family "Bacterial small subunit ribosomal RNA", at positions 29 to 506 of the family's 1533-position model. The record is from RNAcentral.